This 206-nucleotide long non-coding RNA is filed under the name Canis lupus familiaris (dog). Its description in RNAcentral is "lncRNA (ENSCAFG00845026298.1)". Lineage: Eukaryota; Metazoa; Chordata; Mammalia; Carnivora; Canidae. The record is from RNAcentral.
CCCGCCCGGAUUAGUGGCAGCUUGGCCUGACUCUCCGGGGCUCCUUCCCCCGCCCCCGCCUGCUGCCCUCCCCUGGGCAGGGGGCUGUUCCACCCGAGGGGCACUGUGCUUGCCCAGGGUGCUGGAGGAGGAAACCGGCGGAGCAGCUUCCCCACUCUCAGUUGCGCGUCUGGCGAUGGCGAUGAGAGGUCCUGCUGCGCUGCCCG